CUGAGCAUUAGAAGUCAUCCUAUAGGGGGUCAUGGGGGGGGGCAACUUGGUGGUUCAAUGGAUUGAGAGCCAGGAUUAGAAAGUCUUGUAUUCAAAUUUGACCUCAGAUACUUUCUAGCUUGUGACCCUGGGCAAAUCAUUCAGCCUCCAUUGCCUAGCCCUUAUUGCUCCUCUGCCUAGGAAUACUCAGUAUUGAAGGUAAAGGUGAAAAAAAAAGAAGCAGCCAUCCUCUGAAGGCACUGCUUUGAAAGCAGACCUACCUACCUAUUUCUUCACUUUAUAAUAUUCCUUUGGAUAGACCAAGCCACAAUGGAUAUAAAUUUGAUUAACCCACAGGAACUAACUGUGAUUGGGAAAACAGGUAAUUCGUGAUUGCCUUCUGACCCAAGUUUGAUGUGUUUGUCAUCAUAUGAAUACACCAACCAAAGGCAUUUCUCACUUUCAAAGUAAAAUGGUGCUACAAGGCUCUGCCUCAUUUUGGACUCUCUUCUCUACUGAUUUGAAAACUGAAGCACCUGAUGACAAUGAACUAAGGCUGUUGGAGCUGCAACUAAGAUGAAAAUUCAGUCAUUCGACAUCAAUAUGUUCCAUGGUAAAGCUCGUUGUUCAAGAAUCUUCUAAUGAAAAGUGAUUCCCCACUGGACAUUCCAGAGCCCUGCCCUUGAACAGGGCUUUCCCUCUUCACAGCACAAAGACCACUGGCUGUUCUACCAGAGCUAAAAUGUAGAUCUGUGAAAGCAGUCUGUGUCAAUAGUGCUAUCUCGAGGAUCACAUGACCUGGCCUUUGUAUCCUUUCUGCUGCUGUGUUAGUGGCCAUGGCCAAUGAUUGAGACAGGGGAUAGCCAGGGAUGAAAAAAUGCACAAUCAGGAAACCAGCUCUCAAAAGGGUAAGCAAAGGCAGCCCUCAAACCCUUCUCCCACCAGGACAGAACAAAUUACCUACUUCUCUGCUUGGUCAAUUUGGGGAAGACAUGAGAUAGACUAAGUAGAAAGAAAAGGAAACUAGAUCUCAGGCCUGGAGACCAUUGGAUUUAUUCUGAUGGAAGCACAAGGCAGAUUGCAUGGAUCACCUUGGAGACCAUCUUCUUCUUGCUGAAAGAUAACCCUACCUCAGUAGCAGCUGUCCCACCAGCCCAGCUUUCUCAACUUAGGCUUGGAUAUCAAGCUAAUCAGUUUGAUCUGACAGAUUUUAAUUAAAUUAAUUAAGGCUUUUCUGAAUGGGCCUGAUUAGCAUCCUACAGAGGUUUUCUUUCUGGAAAGCAGCCCUGCUGGGAUCAGCACUAAUACUUUCCUUUCCUCUAAUAAUGAAGAUGUCUUUAUUUUGCUUAGAUUACUAAUGGAGAGGUGGGGGUGGGAGUUAGUAGCUUGCCCCCCCCCCCCUUGGUUGGUAUUGUUUGUUGAGUAUUUUUUAUUUUUCUCUCUUUAAAAAAUAAACUUAGAGCAGUGGAGAUUUAGUACCUAGGUACUGAUUACAUGACUAAUUUUAAAUCUUCUAGAAUGGGUAAGAUUUGGUUAUUAUUUAAGGAAUUUUCUAGAGUAACCUCAUUUAAUAUAAUUUUUAGCAUCCCAAACACCUUACAUUUAAGAGCCAUGAGGAUAAGCCAUAGCACUUUCCAAAUCUUCCCUCUGUCCUAAUUUUUCCUACAUCAUAUCCUAUUUAUGGUUCUAGAUCAAACUGAGUGGUCAAGAAGUAGAAUGUCUACAUAUUUUAGAGAACUAAGAAUGACUUCACAUGAAAACACUUGGAAGAACAAUCUCUAUCCUGUCUUUGUUUCUUUGUUACAGUUUUAUUUUUUUUAAACCCUUACCUUCAUCUUGGAGUCAAUACUGCCUAUAGUUUUUAAAUGCUCCAAGUAUCAACAAGGUUUCCACAGGUAUGAUUUGUUAAGACACAGUCUGGAUACUCUAGAACCUAUGUAAUCUAACAGUCUCAACAAUAUUCCUACAGGUUUGAUGAUGAAACUGAAGUCCAGAGAGGGAAACAACAUCACACAGGUAAAACGGUAAAUGACAAAGAUAAGAGAUGAACCCAUUUCCUCCCAUUCUAAAGCCAUGGGGAACAGAAGAAUAAAAGGAAGGCUGAGAAAUAAAAGGAGGGGAAAUGACUGGGAGGGGAUGAGAAAUAGGAUUUUUACUUCCAGAAGAAAUCACCUGAAACCAGUGAUGAAAAGUAACUUCUUGUUGUUUAUUCAUUCAUGUCCUACUCUUUAUGAUCCCUUUUGAGGUUUUCUUGUCUAGAGAUUCUGGAAUGGUUUACCAUUUCCUUCUCUGACUCAUUUGACAGAUGAGGAAACAGAGGCAAAUGAAGUUAAGCGACUUGCUCAAGGUCACACAGUAAGUAAAUGUCUGAGACCAGAUUUAAACUCAGAAAGUAGCAGAAAAGUAAAGGAAGAGAUAAAAUUUUUUUUAAUGGAUUUUGCCUUUUGCUGCAGCAGGGGAGUGAAAUAAAAACAGAGCCAAACAGUAUUUGGGGUUUCAAAAAUCUACAUGGAAUCUAAUUACAUAAGAGUGCUGGACUUGGAGUCAACUUGGAGUUACCUCAGACAACUUAUUAGUUGUGUGAUCGUGGACAAGUCACUUCUACUCUCUGAGCCUCAGUAUCCCCAUCUGGAAAAUGAGGAAGUCUAAUGAGAUGGCCUUUCAGACUCUGUACAGCUCUAAAUCCACUGGUCCCAUAAUCCCACAUUUUUUCUAUCAUUUGAUUGUACCUGUCUGACCAGAAACUCAGUUGUUUUCUUCUUCUUUAAAAAAACAAACAAACUCCUUCCUACUAUCCUACAUUUGUUAUAAUUAUCUGUUUCAAUGUCUGAGAGCAGGAAGGGCUAAGCAAACAGGGUUAAAUGACUUGAUCAGGGUCAUACAACUAGGAAGUAUCUGAGGCCAUAUUUGAACUCAGGUCCUCUUGACUCCAGAACCAGUACUCUAUCCACUUUGCUAUCUAGCUGCCCCCCAUUAACUUUCUUUUUCAUAGGCAUGGGAGUUUGGGAAAAGGUGAGGAGGAAAGAGAUUGGCAACAGAGGAGUGACAGACAUUUAAGAACAAAUUCUACCAUCUUCUUUUACAGUCCUAAGGAAAUGAAAGAGCAGCAAAACAAAAACAGAAGUUCCCCCUAAAACAGUAACUUUUAAAAUUAUGAUGUAGAUGAAUCCUUUGGGUAUGUUAAAGUUUGCUUUAUUUUUAGAAUUUCAUCAUCUCAUUCUACUCUUGACCAGAAAAGCAUUCACUCUGGCGUCCAAAUGCAAAUGAAAAGCCCUUAAAAACAAUAGAGGGUGUUUAUAUGCGCCAAGGCUCUGUUACAAAAAAUCCAAGUACAAUGAAAAAAAUUAGUUUUGCUAACAAGUAGCAAGUCAUAUUAAAGCGAUCUAAUGUGAGAGAAGCAAGAAAUAAACAGAGUAGACCAUGAUCAAAGGUGAUCCCUAGACAAAUAGGGGUAAUUCUGAGCCUGCCAUAGAAUCCCAAGAUAAAUUAGAUGGCUACCACCCAUUUAUAGCCCCCAAGGCCUUUUCUGAUUAGAUUUUCCAGACCUGAAAGUAAUUUUGGUGGCAUAGCUCCUGAUUUAACCUAGCAUGGGGGUUCCUUGAAUUGAACUGAAUCAAGAGGUCAAGGAUAAAGGAAUCUUAAUUUUUAAAUGGAUUUUUGACAGAUUCCUUUCUCACAAGUGCUUCCCAGACUUGAGAGGAAAAAAGAAAGGGAUUCCUUCACUGGGAACUAGUUCAGUUUGAGGUGAAAGAAAUGAUGGGGUCUGGGGAGUUUCAUCAACAAGCUAAAAGAACAGAUUUUACUCCACAUUAAGAGAAAUUUAUUGGGCAAUUUUCUGAUUCUGAAGCCAUAACUUCAAAGUAUACACUGCUUUGAGGAAUGUAUACCUAUUUGCAUAUGAUAUUUCUGAGUGUUUUGUGGUAUACAAACUUCAAUCCAUCCAUGUUGUGUAUAGGUAGACCAAAAAGUUAGCAGUUUACCUGUCUGUCUAUCCAUCCAUCCAUUAAAAAUUUAUUGUCUGUGAUUGCACAUAUAAAAUCUAUAUGAGAUUGUUUUCCAUCUCAAGAGGAAUAGGGAUUUGGGGGAUGGUGGAAGGGAGAGAAUUCGAGACUCAUUAUUCUUUGAAAAAUGUUGGAAACUUUUUACAUGUAAUUGGGGUAAAAAUAUAAAUAAAUUAAUAAAUAUACUGUCUUCAGGGCUAAGACAAUGG
Non-coding RNA from Monodelphis domestica (gray short-tailed opossum), 4189 nucleotides. Lineage: Eukaryota; Metazoa; Chordata; Mammalia; Didelphimorphia; Didelphidae. The record is from RefSeq and is a predicted model, not a curated record.